AUUGAACGCUGGCGGCAGGCUUAACACAUGCAAGUCGAGCGAGCGGCGGACGGGUGAGUAAUGUCUGGGAAACUGCCUGAAGGAGGGGGAUAACUACUGGACACGGUAGCUAAUACCGCAUACCUACAGAUGUGCCGCGAUGGGAAUAGAUCGUAGGUGGGGUAAUGGCUCACCUAGGCGACAAUCCCUAGCUGGUCUGAGAGGGUGACCAGCCACACUGGACCUGUGACACGGUCCAGACUCCGACGGGAGGCAGCAGUGGGGAAUAUUGCACGAUGGGCGCAAGUCUGAUGCAGCCAUGCCGCGUGUGUGAAGAAGGCCUUCGGGUUGUAAAGCACUUUCAGCGAGGAGGCGUUACUCGAAGAAGAAGCACCGGCUAACUCCGUGCCAGCAGCCGCGGUAAUUC
This 406-nucleotide ribosomal RNA is filed under the name uncultured bacterium. RNAcentral describes it as "partial 16S ribosomal RNA". It matches the Rfam family "Bacterial small subunit ribosomal RNA", at positions 30 to 526 of the family's 1533-position model. The record is from RNAcentral.